CCUACGGGGGGCUGCAGUGGGGAAUAUUGCGCAAUGGGCGAAAGCCUGACGCAGCGACGCCGCGUGAGGGAUGAAGGUCUUCGGAUCGUAAACCUCCGUCAGCAGGGAAGAACGGUCACUGUGCUAAUCAGCAGUGAAUUGACGGUACCUGCAAAGGAAGCACCGGCUAACUCCGUCCCAGCAGCCGCGGUAAUACGGAGGGGGCGAGCGUGAAUCGGAAUUAUUGGGCGUAAAGGGCUCGGGGGCGGGAUGUCAAGUCAAGGGUGAAAUCCCCGCGCUCAACGUGGGAACUGCCUUUGAAACUGGCAGACUGGAGUGGGUGAGAGGAUAGUGGAAUUCCAGGGGUAGGAGUGAAAUCCGUAGAUAUCUGGAGGAACAUCAGUGGCGAAGGCGGCUAUCUGGCACAUAACUGACGCUGAGGAGCGAAAGCGUGGGUAGCAAACAGGAUUAGAUACCCUGGUAGUC
RNAcentral lists this ribosomal RNA (465 nucleotides) under uncultured bacterium. RNAcentral's name for it is "partial 16S ribosomal RNA". It matches the Rfam family "Bacterial small subunit ribosomal RNA", at positions 338 to 795 of the family's 1533-position model. The record is from RNAcentral.